This 869-nucleotide non-coding RNA is filed under the name Thomasclavelia spiroformis DSM 1552. RNAcentral's name for it is "Clostridium spiroforme DSM 1552 Bacterial large subunit ribosomal RNA". It matches the Rfam family "Bacterial large subunit ribosomal RNA", at positions 2045 to 2912 of the family's 2925-position model. The record is from Rfam by way of RNAcentral. Lineage: Bacteria; Bacillati; Bacillota; Erysipelotrichia; Erysipelotrichales; Coprobacillaceae.
UAGUACCUGUGAAGAUGCAGGUUACCCGCGACUAGACGGAAAGACCCCAUGGAGCUUUACUGUAGCUUGAUAUUGGACUUUGAUGCAGGAUGUACAGGAUAGGUAGGAGACUGAGAGACAUGCACGCCAGUGUGUGAGGAGUCGCUGUUGGGAUACUACUCUUCCUGUAUUGGAGUUCUAACCGGAUGCCAUAAGCUGGCAACGGGACAGUGUCAGGUGGGCAGUUUGACUGGGGCGGUCGCCUCCCAAAGAGUAACGGAGGCGCCCAAAGAUACCCUCAGCUUGGAUGGAAAUCAAGCGCAGAGUGCAAAGGCAAAAGGGUGUUUGACUGCGAGACCAACAAGUCGAGCAGGGACGAAAGUCGGGCUUAGUGAUCCGGCGGUGCUGAAUGGAAAGGCCGUCGCUCAACGGAUAAAAGCUACCCUGGGGAUAACAGGCUGAUCUCCCCCAAGAGUUCACAUCGACGGGGAGGUUUGGCACCUCGAUGUCGGCUCAUCGCAUCCUGGAGCUGAAGUCGGUUCCAAGGGUUGGGCUGUUCGCCCAUUAAAGCGGUACGCGAGCUGGGUUCAGAACGUCGUGAGACAGUUCGGUCCCUAUCUGUCGUGGGCGUAGGAAGUUUGAGAAGAUCUGUCCUCAGUACGAGAGGACCGGGAUGGACAUAUCAAUGGUGCACCAGUUGUCACGCCAGUGGCACAGCUGGGUAGCUAAAUAUGGAAGGGAUAAACGCUGAAGGCAUCUAAGUGUGAAACCCACUUCAAGAUGAGACUUCCCAUUACGCAAGUAGGUAAGACCCCUUAAAGACGAUAAGGUUGAUAGGUCAGGAGUGUAAGCAUGGUGACAUGUUCAGCGGACUGAUACUAAUAGGUCGA